RNAcentral lists this unclassified non-coding RNA (140 nucleotides) under uncultured Mortierellales. Its description in RNAcentral is "sequence contains ITS1". Lineage: Eukaryota; Fungi; Mortierellomycota; Mortierellomycetes; Mortierellales. The record is from RNAcentral.
UAAUAAAAGUGAAUUUUAUGGCACUUUUAAAAAAAUCCAUAUCCACCUUGUGUGCAAUGUUUUUUUUUUUUAUAAACUCUUUAAUUUCAAAAAAAAAUUGUCUGAAAACGAUUUAUUCUGAAUUAACUUAAUUCAAAAUA